This 406-nucleotide ribosomal RNA is filed under the name uncultured bacterium. RNAcentral describes it as "partial 16S ribosomal RNA". It matches the Rfam family "Bacterial small subunit ribosomal RNA", at positions 30 to 526 of the family's 1533-position model. The record is from RNAcentral.
AUUGAACGCUGGCGGCAGGCCUAACACAUGCAAGUCGAACGAGUGGCGGACGGGUGAGUAAUGUCUGGGAAACUGCCUGAUGGAGGGGGAUAACUACUGGAAACGGUAGCUAAUACAGAAUACGAACGGAUGAGCCCAGAUGGGAUUAGCUAGUAGGUGGGUUAAAGGAUCACCUAGGCGACGAUCCCUAGCUGGUCUGAGAGGAUGACCAGCCACACUGUAACUGAGACACGGUCCAGACUCCUACGGGAGGCAGCAGUGGGGAAUAUUGCACAAUGGGCGCAAUCCUGAUGCAGCCAUGCCGCGUGUAUGAAGAAGGCCUUCGGGUUGUAAAGUACUUUCAGCGGGGAGGCGUUACCCGCAGAAGAAGCACCGGCUAACUCCGUGCCAGCAGCCGCGGUAAUAC